CCCUUAGAUGUUCUGGGCCGCACGCGUGCUACACUGAGUGGAUCAGCGGGUCAGGUUGCGCGAAAGCGUUUCCUAAUCUUGAAAUCCGCUCGUGAUGGGGAUUGACGGUUGCAAUUUUCUGUCACGAACGAGGAAUACCUUGUAAGCGCGGGUCAUCAUCCCGCGCUGAAUACGUCCCUGCCCUUUGUACACACCGCCCGUCGCUCCUACCGAUUGAGUGGUCCGGUGAGGCUUUGGGAUCUGAGCGGAAAGAGCGUUUCGCUCGUUCUGCCCGGAAAACUCAGUCGAACCUUAUCAUUUAGAGGAAGGAGAAGUCGUAACA
RNAcentral lists this ribosomal RNA (322 nucleotides) under uncultured eukaryote. RNAcentral describes it as "partial 18S ribosomal RNA". It matches the Rfam family "Eukaryotic small subunit ribosomal RNA", at positions 1470 to 1796 of the family's 1831-position model. The record is from RNAcentral.